This is a long non-coding RNA of Paramacrobiotus metropolitanus, 2548 nucleotides long. RefSeq lists it as uncharacterized. The transcript has 4 exons. NCBI's taxonomy places the organism in Eukaryota, Metazoa, Tardigrada, Eutardigrada, Parachela, Macrobiotidae. The record is from RefSeq and is a predicted model, not a curated record.
CAGUAUAACACGAUAUACCUAUGUCCGAUGUACUUCUGAUUUCGGACUAAACCAAAAAAUUUUAUCAGAAUUAUCAACACUGUUCUCGCGUUGCAUGACUGACCUGAAAUAUUGAACUGAUCUUUCUGUCCUUCGAAUUUUUCCUUGGGAUCAAAAUUUCUGUCGUGUUUUUUCGGGAAUAUGGAGGUGCUCGUCUUGUUUCUGGCACCUUUGGUGCGUUUCAUUGUGUGUAUCUUUGUCGUAAAGACAUUUGCACACACCUUUUUAUCGGCAGGAUUUUUCUGUGCCUGGAUCGGAGCUUCAUCAGGCGGUUCUUCCACGAACGGAGGCAGGAAGUACGAUAUCAGAUACCAGAGCAUGGCUGUAAUACUCCCUCCAAUUAAAACGAUUAAGACUUCCGAUUCAGUCAUUGUUAUUUGAAUCUGAGAUAUAAUCCUCGAAAGUUGCAAACAGAAAAAUCUGACAACAGCAAAAACUUCUUGGCAGUUGGAAACACCCCAACGAUGCAACCCACUUUCAAAGCAACCUGGAAGAGAAAUGCGGGAAUUAUAAAUUAUUCUAGUUACUAGUACUACUCUAGUUACUAAGUACUAGUAAUCGUCUGCAACGAAGUAAGCCGUAAACGCUGUCAUCUGGAGACUCUACUAGGAUCAUCGAUCAUGAUGGAUACUCGUAUGCAAUUUUGAAUGUUUAGUUUAUGCGGCUAUCAAGUUAUCAACAUUGGCCAAUCGCACGGUGGUUCAUUCAGCAACACAGAUACAUGUUUUUGUAAAUUAUAACUUAUAAAUUAUAAAUUAGAACAACAAAAUCUCAGUUAAACUUUCCAAGGUUGAACGCUUCGCCCGGCGGGAGGUUAUUACAUAAAGGCCUUGUCAAGGAUACUGUAGUCUCUAUGUUCCCCAAACAAAAUAAAAUGAUUAUAAUACAGUACGUAUUUGAUUUUCGAUUAUUUGAUUUUGAAUUUUGGUCCUGUUUACUUUCGUCUUCCACCCUUUGCCUCCGAGUCGGAUGACAGCCUCUCCGACUCCGCUCGUAGUCCCUCCACACUCGGAGGAGAUGGAUGAUGGACAAUGCGUCAAUGCGCAGUGGAAUUUCACUGAGCUGAUCCGCAGUUGCACGAAUUCCAACUUGCUUGCUUGGUCCAUAGUGACAGCAACGCCAAUGGCGGAGACCACGGCCGACGCCAACGCUCCAUCCGCCAGAAAGCGCUGCGUUCGCUGCCCGUGGCGUCCACGCUCAGCCAGGUGAACAACGCGGAAUCCGUGCAGUUCAUGAAAUGGGCCGCCGAUUUCUUCCCACGUCCCUGGUCCGCUCCCACGAAGGAGCGCUUCCUGAAGAUCGUCGGCGUGACGCAGGAUGAUACAUGUACGACGCAGCCUGAUCCGCUGGAUUUUUCCACAGGAUGGCAAGGACGAUCAAUUUUAUAUUUUUAUAUCAAUCCAACAAGACCCGAUUGAGCUGCGCCAGCAUAUAUUCCAAAGAGUCUGGUGAUUUCAAUGUGAUUCCUGGUUACCAGCUGCAAGAUCUGCUCAACGACACAGCGACUAGUCAAGUGUGCACCGUCGUCUUCUUUUAUUCUGGCACUUGUCCCUACUGCUACCGCGCAGCGCCUGUCAUGCACUCGGCAGCCGUAUAUUUCCCGGAGACUAGAUUUCUGGCUGUGGAUACCGACAGAACACCAGGGGUAGCUGGACACCAUGGAAUAAUGGGUGUUCCGGUGGGCUUACUUUUCUGUGAGAAACGGUUUACUACUGGCUGGACUAUCCCGAACACAUGCUCGCGAUACUAUCCGAGCGUUCAUUAUGGCUUAUACUGAUGUGAAAUACAUUUCACACACGCAGAGUAUUACUGGAGUGAACGAAGGAAUACUGAGCCAUCUUGAACUGAAGCAGAACAGUUUGAUCUACUUUGAACUGUGGAAGUAGAACAGUUUGAUCUACAUGAUUUCCAACAUUAUCGUCUUGGCCGCCUUUGCCAUGGUCUUCUGGAAGCGGUACUUGCUGGAUGCCAUCAAAAAAACAUUAGACCGGGCAGGUGUCAAUGAUGAACGACUGGUUUUGGUGUCCAACAGCCUGAUCCUCUCGGCGACUCCCAAAUUCCUGUUCCCCAAAUUCCACUGGAAGUACAAGACAAUGUGAACUGAAUUCUGGAAGAGUUGUGAUUAUUUUCGGGAAAUGGAAAUGAGCCACUCGUUGCGGAGUACCGACAAGAGGGAAGCUGCGGAAUACUGCAUCUCAUUCAUCAUUUAUGUUUCUACAUUGUCCUGUGAGCAAUUUCCAUUUCGUUACUGUGAAGUGUAAACGAAUGGCCCUUUUUUUCUAUAACGCUUAAUAUUAUUGAUAGCUGAUGUAUACGCUUCGUUAUGCUGGCGUAGGGCACAACCUGUGAUGGUAUAAUAUUCGGUUUAUGUUAUGUCUAACAUGUAUUUUGUAUUGAGAUUUACUCUGAAUUCUGAAAGAGUUUCCGAAUACUUUAGGUAAUGGAAAGUACCUAAACAAUUAAAAGCAAACCGGCUUAUUCGUGCUUUAUUUUGAAAUAUUUUAAAUAA